AUGGGCAACAGCGCACUUCUCUUCCAUGGCGAGUGCCAGUCCGAGACGUCGUCGACGUGCUCCACCGAGAGCGCCAUGUCGGCCCACAAUUUUGUGGUGCGUGAUUACCCGCUGCUCGAGGGCAUCAGCGCCGGCAAGUUUGUCAGGUCGAGCACAUUCAACGCUGGCGGCUACAUCUGGACGAUCAGGUUCUACCCCAACGGGGAGCUGAAGGACAGAUCUAGUGACGCGGCCUCAUGUUUUCUUUAUUGUGCCAACCCAGCGAAGGACGUGAGGGCACGGUACUCGUUAAACGUGUUGGAGAAAUUAGACGGGGAUGUACAGGUGACAACCUUCAGUUGCGAAGAGGAUACAUUUUCUCCAACACACUACAGUUGGGGGUAUCGCAAUUUCGUCUCGAGAUCGAAGCUUAAAACUUUAUCGGACGCCAACAAUGGCUGCUUCACGGUGAGAUGCGUUCUCAUGGUUAUACAUGAACCUCGAACGCGCAACAGGAGACCUAUCGUAGUGCCAGCGCCGAGCAUGCGGGAGAGCCUCGAGCACAUGCUCAUGGAUGGAGAAGGUGCAGAUGUGACGUUCAGCGUGAGCCACCAGCUGUUCAAUGCCCAUCGUUGUGUGCUGGCUGCACGUUCUCAGGUUUUCAAGGCCGAGCUCUUUGGUCCGUUGAAGGAAAAUACGACGCGGCACAUCGAGGUCGACGACAUGGAGCCCCAAGUCUUUGAGGUGCUUCUUCACUUCAUGUACACAGAUACUAUGCCAGAUGAUGAUGAAGACAAAGGCAAAAUUGAAAGGCUACAACACUUGCUUGUUGCUGCGGAUAGGUACGGAGUGGAUAGGUUGAAGGUCAUGUGUGAAGACAAGCUCUAUGAGGGCAUCAAUGUCGAGACGGUCGCGACCACGUUGCUUCUGGCAGAGCAGCAUCACUGCAAGGAUCUUAAGGAAGCUUGCAUUCAGUUUAUAAGUUCACCAUCGGAUAUACUACGGGCUGUCAUGGCCACCGAUGGAUUCAAGCAACUCGUAGCUAGUUGUCCUUUGCUCAUGGAGGAUAUACUAAAGAGUGUGUCCUACAACUAG
RNAcentral lists this ribosomal RNA (1074 nucleotides) under Triticum aestivum (bread wheat). Its description in RNAcentral is "partial small subunit ribosomal RNA". The record is from RNAcentral. Lineage: Eukaryota; Viridiplantae; Streptophyta; Magnoliopsida; Poales; Poaceae.